AGCAUGAGUGGGGGAGGGACACAGAGAGAGACAGAGACACGGAAUCUGAAGGAGGCUCUAGGCUCUGAGCUGUCAGCACAGAGCCUGAACACACGAACUGCGAGAUCAUGACCUGAUCCGAAGUCAGACGCUCCACUGACUGAGCCACCCAGGCGCCCCUCUAGUUGUUUUAAAUGAAUACAUUGCAUUGUGUGUCUUAUAGGAGAUACUAUAGUUAAAGGCUGUAAUGUCUUUAUCUUAAGAAAUCUCAAAGAACUCUAUUGUGUUCUCAAUCAAGAAAUAGUUACAGAGCACCUGUGCUGCAUGCCAGAUACUGUGCUAAAGAUUCAGUGGUGGGUACAUUUAGACAAAGGCCUUGCUUUAGCAGAGCUUAUAUUUUACUAGGGAAAAUAGACAUCAAUUAAAUAAGCAUAUAUUUGAUAUAAAAUUGCAAGCAUAAAUUCAAGAAAAGAGAGGAGCAUGGAACCAAGAGUGUUUGUCACAUGGGAUCUGUCCUAGUUAUGGCAGUGAGCAAAGGACUCUCCAAGGAAGUGACCAUUGAGGUAAGAUCAGAAGGAGGAAUAGGUUUUACUAGAUGAGGAAAGAAGAUAAGAGCAUUCCAGGAGAAAGAGCCUCAUGUCUGUAGAACCAACGGGUAGAGGGAGCAUGGCAAGAAAAAGGGCUGAAAAAAAAAAAAAGCCCGUGGAGUUAUAACAGAGGGGGAGGCCGAGUAUAGGGCAAAAUGAGCUGGAAAUGUGGAAAUAUGGGAUAAGGUGAUUUCUUUCUGGAUCAUGUUAGGAAAUUUGUUUUAUAUGAAGAGCAACAGAAGGAAACAUUGAACUGUCAUAAACAGGAAGGUGACUUAGAUUUUUGUUUCAAAAAACUGCCAAGUACAGAGUGGAAAGAAGGCAUCUCAUGAGAUCAGGGGAUGAUCGUAGUAGGAAUAGUUGGAACGCAAGGUGGAAGAAGAAUGAUUUAUAGUCAGAGAAGAAAGUGUGAGAAUCAGUAAUGGUGACGGUAGAACAGUUAUGUAUGGUGAAAGAUGCCUGUUUUCGUAUGCAUUUACUUUUCUGUUAAAAAACAAGGACUUGAGAGACAAUUAAUCAAAUGAACUCUGAAAGAAACAGUGAAGUGGCACAGAAGACCCACAUCCGUGACUUUCAGCUAAUCUCUUUUGCUUACCUAGUCAUGAAUGUAUCAUCAACAUACUAUUAAGCAUUUAAGGGCUGCAGUAGUAAGAGCACUAAAGGCAAAUAUAAUGGCAACCAAAAACUUCUAUUAAUUAUGCAAUUAUAUUCAUGGGAUGGAUUAUCUGCUGGAGAUCAUGUGUGGAAUACUUGGAUUAUAUGCCCUUUAUGCUUAUUUCAGGAGGAGGAGAUGGAAAUAGGAAAAGGUAGAGUUGGCUUAGGAGACUGAGGAAGUGAGCAAGUGAGCAAGAGAGAGCAUCACAACUUUUGGACCAAAUAAAAUUUUGGUGAUAUAAUCAUUUUUGCAUUUUAAGCUAUAUUUCCUCUCUCAAAAAAUUGGCACCUUCUAUGAUACAAUUGUAAACAAUGCCCUUGAAACACAGUGAAAUUGUUCUUAAAAAAAAUAAAACCACAUAUUUAACAUAAUAAACAGAAUUUUAAAUGGAAAAAAAAUCAUGAUGUAUUUAUAUUUUCCACUUAUACAAUAUCUUUAAUCAUCCUCGACUCAGAAAUUUUGAUCAAUGCAUUGCCCGAUUUUUGAUCAACGGCUGUCCAUCGCCCCCACUUCUACAUCAUUAACUGAUCUGUUAAUGACAGCACUGUGCGCACAUCGAGUGAAUUGUUCUUCUGUUAUAAAGUGAGCCUGCUCUUGGUAAGGCCACUAGAAUGAAGGGAAAGGAGGGAAACUCUUGGGUAGGAGCGCAUGUAUUUCUAAUCAUCACCAGAAGACCAGGGAGUCCGCUUUCCUGCCCUUCAUUUUUCUCUGUAAACGUUCUUUGCUAAAGCUAUGACACCCUCGCAUUGCUCCCUUUACAAUGAAGCUGUAAAUGUCACUUUAGCAUUUAACCAGAGAGCGGAAAUGCCCGGAAUGAAAAGCCAGGAGAACAAAGUGGGAGUGUUGGAGCUCAAGAGCUGAGGGUCUGCCCAAGCUAAUCUCCCCGACUUUCACCCAACCCUGUUGGAUGUCUCGUUACGGUGUGUGCGGAAAACGCUGAACAGUUAGAGCAGACUCCAGUGUCGUCCGGGCUCCGGGUGCAGAGUCCAUUAUACAUGGUGUCAGACAGUUUUGACAAAUGCACCGACACAAUCAAACCUUUUAUCAAUGUGAAAGUAACCUUGUCACAGAAAUCUGUCAAACUGUGCAGAUACAACUAAAGGAAAACAAUCAUCAUGCACUUCAGAGUAACGGAGUAAAUAAGAAAAAUGUGAGUGGACAUUUUUUUUUUAGUCCUUUCUUACCGUGUCAAUGAAGAUUUAAAAGUUCCCUCUAAUAAGACCCAAGGAAAUUUAUUAGUAGCUUUCUCCUGAAAGCCAGACUCAAAUUACGCAGCUGCUUUUGAGGCGUCGUAAAUCUGUAUGGUGUCAGGUGUGAGUACGAAGUGAAUUUGAGGAUCUUUGAACCCUCCUUUGUGUAAUUUAAAUGAGAGAGUGCCUUUAAGGUCCAAAGUAGAUGUCUGAAUUGACUCAGCAUAGAUCUGAAACUUAGCUGCAUAUAUUAAUUCAGGCUUAUGUACAAUUAUAUUUGCCAACUAUGCUUUCUGAACCAGACAUAGGAUUUGGUUUGUAAUUAAUAGACAAUUAUCAUUAAUAAGGAAUUGUUUACAUAUAGACAACAUUUAUUGUGUACUACAUACACACUCUACGUUUUUUAAUAUUACCUCAUUUAAUGCUCAAAAUAGCUUUAUGAAGUGAGAGCAAUAAUUACCGAGUAAUAGUUGAGUAAACUCAGGCUCAAAAUGGUUAGGAGCCUUAUUGUCCAAAUUUACAGAUCCACCAGCAUUCAAACCCAGCUCUUCCUUGCCACCACGUAAACAUUCAUUUAAUGAGAAUGAGGAUGGCAUAAGUCUCCAGUUCUCACAUCCAUGGCUGCCCGUGAGUAUCCCUGGAGGAGCUUUAGAAAAAUACUACCGCCUGGAUCUCACCCUCAGGGAUUCUGAUUUAAUUCAUGAUACUAAGUUAGAUACUUAGAUUUAGAUAGUCCGCUUAGAUACUGAGAUUUUUAAAAGUCUGUUCAGGUAGGGGCACCUGGGUGGCUCAGUCAAUUAAGCGUCUGACUCUUGAUUUCAGCACAGGUCAUAAUAACCUCAUGGUUCAUGAGUUUGAGCCCCACUCCUGAGCUGGUAGUGUGGGGUCUACUUGGGAUUCUUUCUCUUUCUCCCUCUCUUUCUGCCCCUCCCAUGCUCUUGGGCACUUCCUCUCUAUCAAAAUAAAUAAAUAGACAUUAAAAAAAUUUAAAAGUCUGCUCAGGUAAUUCUACAAUGUAGCAAAGUUUGGAAACCCCUGGAGUAAAUCAUGCUAAUAAAAAGAAUAUACUUUAAUCUUCUAUUUUAAUUCCCUUACUCUGACUUGCAUAGAUUCUAGAAAUUUCAUAGGAGCCACCAAUUUUUUUUUUUCAUUUAACUAGAAGACUUAAAAAUAAGUUUUGUUAAGAUAAUUUUGGAGCGAAUUGGAUUUUCCAAUUAAAAAUGAGAUUUUUUUUGUUUUAGAUUUAUGCAUGGAAAGUCAAGCCCUGAAAUGGGGAUCUAUGAGCACUUUAAAGAAUGUCCUUGGAGGGGGGCACUUGGGUGGCUCAGUCAGUUGAGUGACUGGCUUUUGAUUUUGGCUCAGGUCCUGAUCCCAAGGUUGUGGGAUCGAACCCCACGUUGAGCUCUGCCAGUGCUGAGCAUGGAGCCUGCUUAAGAUUCUCUGUCUCUCCCUCUGUCCCGCUCCCCUCACUGGUGCUGUCUCUUUCUGAAGCAAAAAAUAAAAUAAAUAAAAUAAGAAUGUCCUUGGAAGGACAUCCCUUUCCUUCUUCACACGAUUUUUAUUGUCAAAUGUUUCUUUAACAUUCCAUUUUUUAAUAACAUUUGCAUUUAACUGAGGAUUAAGGAACUUUUCCUCUUUUGACUCAUGUUAUUAGCUUCUAUAUAUUUACAUUUUUCUUGAUGACUAUAGUCUAUAUGUUAUAGAACAUAUCUAGUAAAUCUUAUAGCAUUUUGGGGGCAUCCUGGAAAUUAUGGUCCCACUGAUUCAUUGACCACUUUUUCAUUAUUUUUUAUUACUAUUUUAUUUUUUAUUACUUUGGAUGAAGAAGAUUCUGCUGAAUGUCCAUGAUUCUUCUAAAAUAUUUAUUUAAAUAGCUGAUAUCUGAUAAUACUUUUUCCUAUUUAUCCUGGAAACAGGGGACAUAAAAACAAGAAUGAAACCAUUGAGAGCACCAGUUAACAUAGGUUACUCUGUUGGUAUCAGCACCAAAAAGCUGGGGAUGGGGAAGGGUAUGAUUAACUCCUUCUGGGUGGCCAAGUAAUGGCCUGGAGCUCUGGGAGAAUUAGAAUUCGAGGCAGAUAUCGUGAUGAGUGCCUGAAAUUCUGAGGGACUUGGAAUUUAAGGGCAGGACUUUGGCAAGCUCAGGUGGCAUCUAGGUUUUCAGUUUGCCCAUUGAUAUUCCAAUUGCCAAGUAUGGCUGACUUUUUUUUACUCCUUACCUUAUUUGAUUUCUCUGUUAUUUAACUCUGUUUACCUCUCUUUUAUUUGUGAAAUGGUCUUCCUCCUUGGCUAUCAUAUUCCUCUUUCUUGGGUCUUCUCUUAUCUUUUGGAGAUUCUUCUUUCCAAAUUCUCUUCAUCUGUCUUAAAUGUUUUUUCUGUUUUUCAGAGAUUGGACCCCCUCUUUUCUUGUUUUAAAAAGUCUACUUAAAUAACUUCAGCUAUUCUGAUGAUUAUGAAAUCUACAUCUCCAGGCCAUGGAUUCUUCUCUUAGUCCUACAUCCAUAUCUCAUUAUUUCUGAAAGAUUCCAAGUUUGUAUUGCAAGAGCUGUCAAACUCAUUGUCCAAAGAUGAUUAUUCUUAGACUUGUUCCUUCUUCAGGAUUCCCUUUGUCUGUGAAUGGCACCACCAUCCACCCAGUCGUUUAGAUUAAAAAAAAAAAAAAGACAAAAUAAAGAAAGAGAAAAAGAUCUUAAAGUUACUCCUUUCUUCAACCUAGAAAUAGUUGCCAAAAUACAUAGAUUUCAAUUGCUUGGUGUUUAUGACAUCCAACACCUCUUGUGCUUCACUACUGCCAAGGCUUAUUUACUCAUUAGCCCAAAGGUAUUUAUUGAAUGCCAUCUAUGUGCCAGGCACUGCAGAUAACUUAAGGACUGGUGAAAUAUCUGCAUAGAGCUUACAUUGUGAUGGAGAGAAUAAUAAAUGAAUAAUUAGGGGCGCCUGGGUGACUCAGUUAAGGCAUCUAACUCUGCCUCAGGUUAUGAUCUCAAGGUUUGUGAGUUCGAGCCCUGUUUCAGGCUCUGUGCUGACAGCUCAGAGCCUGGAGGCUGCUUCAGAUUGUGUGUCUCCCUCUCUCUCUGCUCCCCCCUGCUCCGCCCCACUUGCACUAUCUCCUUCUCAAACAUGAAUAAACAUUAAAAAAAUAAAAAAUAAAUAGAUUAACUAAAGAAGAAAACAUUAGAAUAUACCAUGAAAAGAAGGUUGAAAUGCUAUGAAAAGGAGAUUGUAAGUAGUGACUGGGAGGUUAUUAUAGACUGGGUAAUGUCUUUAAGAUGAACUCUCAAUUUCAAGAAGGAGCCAGGCAUAUGAUAUUUAGAAGGAAGGGCAUUACAGAUAGAUUUAAGCUUGUACAAAAGUCCCAAGGUGGAAAUGAGCUUGGUGUAUUCAGGGAACAUGAAGAUCAUAAUAGCAAAAGAACAAUGAUUAAGGGAGGUAAGGACGGUACGAUGAAGCAAAAAAGGCACACCGGGGCUAAAUCAGUAAGAUUUUCUAAGCAGAGUAUGGAAAUUGGAUUUUGUCUUAAUUUAUUAUUAUUAUUAUUAUUAUUAUUAUUGUUAUUGUUAUUGUUAUUAUUAUUAUUUUGCAAAGUUAUUCUGGCUACUCUGUAAAGAAUGGAUUUUAUGGGCUUAGGAGGGAAGAGGCCAGCAAAUAAGCAAGGAGGUCAUUGUGGAAGUUCAAGCAGGAGACAGUGAUGGCUUGGAGUAGAAUCAUUGUGAUGGAGGAAGUUAGAAGUGAUGGGUUUGGGAUAUAUUCUGGAGAUGAUUUUGAUAGAAGUUUCUGAUUCUAGAAGUUACUGAUAUGGCAGGGUGGUUAGAGGAACAGAAAUUAGGAAUAAUUCCUCAAGUUUUGGCUUUCACAUCUAAAAAAAAGGUACAGGGCCAUUUCAUAAAAUGUGGAGGAUUGUGGAAGGAACAAUUUUGGGUGAAUAGAAGUCAAGGGUUCCCAAUCUUGUUAUUUUUGAGAUCUUGUUAGACAAAAAAGAAAAAAAAAAGAAAACAAAAGAGAAAUGAGAUACAAGUUGGCAGUUUGAUAGAUGACUAGUUUUCAAAGCAGAGGUUAGAGUAAGAAAUAUAGACUGGGAGCCAUAAGCCUUAUAAGUGGCAUUUAAACAUAUGCUAAUGUUAACCAUAUAGUGCCUAAUAUGUGCUAAACAUUAUUCUAAGUAGGUUACAUGUAAAUACUUCAUAUUACAUGUGUUAAAUCACUUAUCUGUUAUGACAACCCCCAUUUUAUAGGUGAGAAGCCAGUGACACAAAGAAGUUAAGUGACUUUCCCAGUGUUACUCGGCUGCUAGUUGGCAAGUUCAGGAUUUAAAUAAAGGAGUUUGGUUUAAUAGUUCUUCUCUUAACCAGGAUUCAUACACAGGGUAUGUCCACAGCAAGAAAAAUGGUCAUACAACUCAACAUUCUGAGAUUCUGAGGGGGGAGAAGCCACAAAAAGAGUUUAUAAAAGAAUAAGCGAUGAUAUCAAGGAAAACCAGGAAAGCAGGAGAGUGUGAUCUAGAAACUGGGGAAAGAAAGUAUUUCAAGAAUGCAGAACAAUCAAGGCUCUUGAAUACUAUUGAGACGUUAAAAAUGUACCCACAGAGAAGUCACAUUUGGAUUUGGCAACAUCGAGGCAUUGGCAAGCUUGAGCAGGGUGGUCUUUGUUGGGGAGUUAAAGAUGAAAGCUACUUGGUGGGCCUUUCUCCAGGGUCAUUACCUGACAAUCCUUACAAAUAACAAUGCCUUUUACUCCUUCAUGCCCAAACUAUACCUAAAUAGUCAUCUUGUGAUUUAUUCUGCUUCUAACUCUCUUUCUCUCUCCUUCUUCCUCCUUUCCUGAUUGUAUUGGACUUCCAUUAUGAAACUUGUUCUAAGGUAGACUUUAAGUUCAUGGUGAGAGACAGAGAAAGCCGCGUUCCCCUCAGAUACUGCAUUCCAAAUUGUUCCACCAGAGUGAAAGAAGAAAGGUUUCCAAUAACAAGCUCUUUUAUUUUCUGGAUCCCAAGGAGAGUUUUGGAGGGAAGCCUCAGGAUAACUUGAGUCACAUGCAUUUAAGGAACCAAAUAAGGAUCAAUACUGUGCUUACUCACUCAAUAGUGCUGCAGGAAAUAACCAUUUAUUCUUGCCUCAGCCACCAGGUUCCAGCUGUCAAGCAGAUCAUAGUGUGCCACUGACUGCUAAUUCCAUACCUAAUGCAAAGUAAUCUGGGCUCACUGAAUGGUGUUUGCUGUUUGCUGAUUUUUUUUUUCUUUUUGGCUCUGGAGUCUUUCUGCAGGUUUCUUUUUGCAACCCAUGACUUUUGGGGGCACAAUAUUAGAGGGUCUUGAUAAAAAACACGCAAAGCAUACCUGUGUAUUUGUCACAUUUAAAAGUGACAGCGAGUCAUUUGAAAAUUGGCAAUAGUAUGAUCUGUAUAUGUCAUUUAAUCAUGAUUGCAAGUAAGUGAUCAUUACAACUUAUUCUUAGAAAGAGCAUUUGAAAAAAAAAUUUUUUCUUUUUACCCGUUAUCAUAUUCAUUACAUCUCUAGCAUCGUGGUGUCUUCUUGAUGAACGAGUAUAUGACAUCAUAAAUAUGCCCCUAAAUUUUUUGUAAGUAGAUUUGUUGUUUUAGUUUUUCAAUCAACAUUAUUGAGAAAUAACAUUAAAUACAUUCAUUUUACGUGCAGGAUUUGAUGAGUUUUGACAAAUAUAUGCACCUAUGUAGUUGCCACCCUAGUCAUGAUGUAAAAUAUUUCCAUUAUCCCAAAAGCUUUUAAAAAUAUAAACAUAUGCUACACAAUUCACAACUUGAAAUCACUAAGAAAACAAGGAGGUAGCAUCAUACCAUGAGAGUAACAGAGAAUUUUGAAUCAGUUGUGGGUUCUAGUUAGCCUUUUAUGAGGUGUGAAAGUUUGGUCAAAUCAUUUAGCCCAUUUGAGUCUAUUAGUGACUGAUACAUAUUGAACCCUUAAUAAAUGCUAGUUGUUAUUCACUUAUACAGUGAGAAAAAAAUUCUGUCAUUCAUAUUUAUAUGUAUUAGGGCUAAAUUAAGUGGAGCUCACUUGUAAUUUUAAGGAGUCUGUAUCCAAACAAAGCACCUAUUUUAGUUUUUACAUUAUUCCCGUCUUAUUUAUCUCUCUGUAACAGUGAAUCCUUUUAUUAUCAUGUAGUAUUUUGUAUUAUCAUUGCUAUUCAUUGUUUAGUGGUGUAUUUAUACUAUAAACAUUCACAAUAUGAGGGUAAAUAUAUGCCACUUAAGCUCUAAAUGGUGAAAAUUAAAGUAUACUGCAAAACAGAUUUUAAAACACAUAGUUGUAGUACAUAAUAAUAUAUUUUAAAAAAUAAAAUGGAAAGUUUCAAUUCAAAUUGAUGCCAAGCAUUUUAGCUUUUGAAUGUAAUGAAGUGGUUUAAAACAUAUUUGAUCAUCUCAGUCAAUGUGUCCAUAUGAAUGGUAUUCUGAUAUCACUUAGACUUAAUUGCUGAAAAUCAACAAGUUGAAUUUGGUGUAGCUUGAAUCAGUUCUUAUCAACUAAAUUUUCUUACAAAUCAUAUAUUUAAAAAGUCUUUCCUCAGUGCUUCUAUUAAAUAAUUUUUAAAUAUUGUUUUUCGUUUACUAACAACCUCUAUUUAUUUAAAUAUCCACACUAAAUUUAGAAUCGGGGAGAUAGAUGCUUAAAUGAUAUCAAUUACUGAACCAUUCUUACAUGUCAAACUUGAUGUAGGUUGACUUCUUUCUCAGAAAAUACAGAAAGCCUGUUGUUUCAGUAGUCUGUAUAAGUAGCUUUGUUCUCUUUACAUGAUUAUGAGGAACCACUCAGGGUUCAAGUCUCAAAUCUGUCAUUUAUUAGGUAUGUGUCUCAGGAGAAGUUAUGCUACUUCUCUGUUCCUCGGUUUAUCUUUCUAUAAGACGGAUCUAACGAUGGCACCUCCCUUUUAGCAUUGUGGAGAGAAUUGGGUGAGGUAAUACACAGAAAGCAUUAAAAUAAAGCCUAGUAUAGAAAAGGCACUCAGUGAGUGCUAGCCAUACGAGAACUUUCCCAAUAUAAACUGAAAUCGAUUUUGCUCCCAGAAUAUGGACAUUUGUGUAAAGCUGGUGGUCAUUUUGUUGAAAUGAUUUCCAGCUCUGUACUAAAAUUUUAUAUAUUAACAUACUCUCCCACGUUUUUUGGGUGGGUUUGUUUGUUUGUUUUUUCCGGUUCUGGUGUUGUGUGGUUCCUUACUUCUAGACUUUACCUAUGUAAACGCAAUUGCCUUCAUUACUCAGGAUAGACCUUUGUUUUGGUAAUUGCUGUCCUCUCUACAAGAGUUUUCGAAGGCAUGGAGCCUGACAUUGAUUCCUUACCUGCAAAAUGGAGCCUUGCUGAUUCUUGCACAGGAAUCUUGGGAAAACAACCAAGUUUAAGAUAAAGAGCUGACCUGUUUUACUGAUUCAUGCUUUGACAUUACUGGGCAAGCCAGAGGUGUCAUCUAUAGAUGAUCUGCAUGUCUCAACAUAAAAGGAUGCCACAGUCAUGCAGUGACCUCUGCGAUCGCUACACUUACCUGUGUGCUUUAUUGGAUAAAGUGUCCUUAUGGUACUGUCAUGACCACAAACCAGACAAAGGCUGUAAGUGGUUCAAGCAAGAACUAGAAACAAGGUUAUCAGGGAACUAUAAAAGGCUUCCAUAAUCUCAAAAUUGAAAAGAGGACUCAUCUCGCACUAAUUAUGAAUGGCACCUCUGAGACAGGGAAAGGAAGCAUAUUUCCUGGGAAUGCUUUCGUGUCAGGAUCAUUUUUCUGAGUGGAAAGGGAUUUGCCGAGGGCCUUCACAUAAAUAGUCAGUGCUGGGUUCUCGGCCUCUGGAUGUGACUGUUUUCUCGAACUCUAAACCAAAAGGGUCGUAUUUAUUAGGUUACAACUUCACGCUAAUUCUGUGGAAGAUGAAUGCACUCGCAUUCAUGGCAUAUCUGAAUUCCAGUGAAAAGAGCAACCAUUAUAGCAAGAGCUGACAUUUGUGAGUGUUCCGUAACAUAUAUUGUUAACGAGCACUUUGCAGGUAGAGUGACUAGCUGUUUGUGGCUUGUCCAGGACUUUCCCAGUUUCAGCAUGAAAGUCCCACAUCCUGGGAACCCCUCAGUUCCAGGAAAAUCAAACUGCCGUGUGCAAGUAUUCAAUUUAAUCACCAGCCUCUUCCAUCUCCAAUGAGCUACUGUUAUUGUCUUCUGCAGCAAAGGGCACUGAAGCACAGAGACAUAAGGUCAUCUGAAGCUCUGUGUAACUACUGGCAUAUCCUACAAGUGACCAAAUGGGAAGUGAGACCUGGGCCAUAGAGCCUACUCUCUCCCUCUUUGUCUUGUAUCACUAUUGGAAUAAACACAUCAUCGUAGAACCAGACCCCUUUUCUCAAAACUUGCUCUAGAACUUGGGUGUCAGUCCAAUGCCUACGGAUGUAGGGAGAGGAGGAAAAUUAUUUCCACACCAUUUCUUAGUGACACCAAAACAUUGCCAACUUUAGUCUCAGAAAUGCCUGUCAGUGGGCUUGAAGGAAUGACUUUCAGAGCCGCUGCAGCAAAAUUAAUUAAUGACUUGGAAAAAUCUGCCAAAGCAACGUACCUAUAAUGUACAACUGGUGCAUAAUAGUUAUUUAAAUAGUGUCAAGUGUCUCAUUUGGAGGGAAACACAUCAGCAAAUGCAGUUUGUUUGUGUUAGUAUCCUUUCUCCGUUUUUAUUUUAUUUUAUUUUAUUUUCAUUAAUUAUUAUUAUUUUUUUAUGAGAGAGAGAGAGACAAUGGGAGGGCAAGUGGGGGAGGGAGACAGAGGGAGAGAGAGAAUCUUAAGCAGGUUCUAUGCUCUGCAUAGAGCCCGACACAGGGCUUAAUCCCACAGCACUGAGAUCAUGACCUGAACCAAAAUCCAGAGUUGGAUGCUCACCCGACUGAGCCACGUAGACACCCCUUCGUUUUUAAAUAAAGUAUGAAAAACUCUUCAGACAAAUUAUGAUAAAGUAUCUGAAUGUAUAAAAAUGUGUUUCAAAUGGAAGUUACUGUUUCCUGAUUGUCAGUGACAUAAAUGCUGUUUAAUAUAGUUUUGUACCUUCCAACUCUCGCUGUGGAAAUGCCAAGUGUUCCAGGUAGAAUCAUAUAAUUCCCAGACUUUCAGAUUUAGAAAAGCAGUUAAAUAACAAAUAGAGGAGGAUUGGCCUACAAGGCAUUAACAGCUUUGAAUCUUAUUUAUUUAUUUUUUUAUGUUUUUAUUUUAUUUUUGAGAGAGAGACAGACAGAGUGUCAGUGGGGGAAGGGCACAGAGAGAGGGAGACAGAGGAUCUGAAGCAGGCUCUAGGCUCUGAGCUGUUGGCACAGAACCUGAUGAGGGGCUCGAACUCAUGGACUACGGGAUCAUGACCUGAGCAGAAGUUGGACGCUUAAUCGGCUGGGCCACCCAGGCACCCCUGAUCUUGUCAAACAGUGAAUGAUAUGAAACAAAAGGCCUGCUUCCUGUUAUUUACUGGCACAUAGACCUAAUGGCAUAUAUUUAGUAUCACUAGCACUUGCUUUUCAGAAGUUCAUUUUAAUACUAAAAGGGCCGUUGUCUUAGUAUAAGGCAAGAGAGUUAAACUUUAUCGCAACAUAGCUCAAAGAUAGGUGUUCUAGUGCAGAAAACUUCUGACUCUAUCUCGCAUCGCACGCACCUGUUUUUUGGUACCAGUGUGACAGUGUGAGAGGCUACGCUCAGUGCAACAUGACACAGGAUUCGGGUUUCUGAUGUGCUCCAUUUCAUUUUUUUUUUUUACCACAGUCAUCGUAGAAUUCCAAUUUCACAUCCCUGUGUUGACAGAAGUGCUAGUAGCAUAUGUCAUGCUAUUUCCCUCAAUUGAGAGUUUUCUCGGCAAACUGAGAGUAGCUGGGGGAAGCACAGCCCCCCAGACAGGGCCAAAAAGAAAAAAGCUGCUGCAAGCUUAGUGUCUGCCCAGCAUGCCCAAGGAAGGAGAUUCUCAACUCAAGGGUGCUUACCCUUCUCCUCGGGUCCCAAAUGGCCCACAAGGAAUGGUCGAGAAUAUAUUUGAAAGGCAUGAAUUUGAUCCAGAUAAACAUUGCCAAGAAUUGGCCAUUGGUGCAGCAGCUGGGAAUUGGGAGACCUGAAGUCUCUCUCUUCCUGGCUGUCACCAAAGAGCUUCAUGGCUUAGCAAGUUCCUUUAUCUGCCUGAGCCUCAGUUGCCCCUCUGGCGUUACGACCUCCAGACUCCUUCUGUUAUAAAACACAUAAUGGUUUGAUUUCCAUUUUUCUGAGAGCCCUGCUUUCUGCUAAGGAACAGUAUGUACCAAAGCAUUAAUCGGUCUUUACUUAGCAAGUAGAUUUGUCUUUUCGAGUAUGACAUUCAAUUUUACCUGGAUUUUAAUGACAGUGUUUUCACCUAAAUUCAAAGUCCCAUGUUGCCUUUGUGCAAAAGACUGCUUGGUAUUAAUACUAAUUGUUAAAACAGGGAAAUUGCUGCAAAUAUAUUACUCAUCUUUUGUUCCCGAUGCCUCAUUCAUAGAGGUAAUUUUAGAACUUGGUGAAAGAUAGAUGCCCUAAGCCUAAACCAUGGUGACAAAUAGGAAACAAAUAUAAAAAAAUCAAAUUAAAAAAUGAUAUGGAAAACAUGUACUUAAUAUGUAUGGAAAAAAUGGUGGGGCAAAUUGGAAAUGUGGCUAAUUUUCCAAAUCCAGUAGACAUCAACACGUAUCUCCCCACACACACAUAAACACACUGCAUCUAUAUGCUUAUUAACAUUUUAUAUUGGGAGACUGUAAUUUCCUUGGGAGUGGGAAUGUAUCUUCUUCACCAUUGUUUCCCUAACAUUUAGCUCGAUUCCUGACACAUGUCAAGUGGCUUCUAAGAAUUUGUGGCAUGAAGUGUUCACUGUUGGGACAAAUUUCCAGGCACUGUGAAUGAAUCCUCCUUACAUCCUAACCUCGUAUAAUCUUCACCUCUUAAGACAGAAUUGGAAGAAAUUGCAUUCUAUAGAAUCAAACUUCAGAAUAGCUAAUUUGUGUUAAUACUCAUUUGAAUAUUAAAACUGUAAGACUGACCUUCUCAUAACUGCAAAAUGCUGAGCCAGGCAGUUGGAGGGGUGUAGCUGAUGUCAAAGAAGGUGAAACAAAGAAAUUCUUAUAGGAUAUCAUCUUAGGUACUGGCAAAAAUCAGUGCUAGCUCCCCUCUUUGGAUUUUUUAAAAAUAACAGCAACAACAACAAAGCAAUAAAGGACAUCAGAAGAGAGUGAACAGACAAAAGACCAGUCAUGUUGUUGCAACAUAUCCUAUGUGAAUGUUGUGAAAGAAUCAUGAUAUGACUCACAAGUGUGGAAGUACAAUUUGCUUGAUCCCCUUGAAAAAGGGGGGAAAAUCUUCAACUGCAUAGUGUUAUGAGACAUAUAUUUGGGCCAACAAAGACAAAUUAGAUCAUGAGUUUUUUAGAGAACAUAUUCUCUGAAUCCAGGUGUGCUUAUGUUUACAGGCUGUCAAGUUGUACUUUAUGCAUGGCGUCAGGCAGACUCGGGGAUUUUCUUCUGCAAGGUGCUAAUAGCCGUUGACCGUGAUUUGCACAAUAUUUAGUUCCCUAAUGGAAAGUGUCCCUCCUACUUGAAUUUCAACUUACUUACCUCUCUGUUGUCUAUCUCGUGGGCAACAACCCUCAGGGGUAUGUAGAUCAGUCCAAAACAGACAAAGCUUAGAUAUGCUUUCCUGCAAUCUGGACCAAUGCAAAGAAAAUAACAUUAGAUAGGCUGGUGGCUUAUUAGCUGCCUCCUAUAUUUAGAACCCUUGACAUUGGCUCUAAUAAUGGACAUCCUCAUAGAGUUUAUUCUGUUACCUAGAAUCAACAAUUUCUAUAAAAUCUAUGCCAAAGAUCAGAUUUCUUACAACAGCUGGAAAAAGGGAGCUCUAUGAUUCCAAAUGUCAACAUACUGAACAAUUAAGUUUUCUGACCCUGAGAGUGCCCAUCAGCCAGUAUUAGUAACACAAUGGGUGGGUAAACUCCAAAUGUUGUUCCAUAUAUUUUGUGCAAAAAUUGAAACCAGUCCAGGAGAGCUGGAGAGAAGAAACCGGCUAUUGAGCCAAAGGAAUUAGUCAUCAUUUAUGUGUCACCACAUUCUAUGACCUUUGUUUGUUUGACUUUCCAAUAAAGAUUUAGGUUGUAGUUUACAAAAACAGGUGGUAAACACGCAGUGAAAUGGAGAGAAAAAUGCGUUGGCACUUCUUGAGGGAGUAGCUCAAAUCAACUAUUUUAAAUUAAACAGAAGAAGUCUAAAGGUAGAGCCGGGUUCUUAAUUAAGGUUCUCAGGAGCUGCUAACAUGGAUGCAAAAUUUUGAAACUAAGCUUGAAUGCUCAUUUUUUUUUCUUGUUGAAGUUUAUAUAGUCUGAAAAUGUUUUUAAACAUUGGUACAAGCAUAUCUCGUUUUAUUUUGCUUCACUUUGGGGCACCUGGGUGGCUCACCCAUAUAAGGCAGCAAAUUUCGUGGAUAAGUGUCAUGUGUGUUCUGACUGCUCUGCCCACUGGUCACUCCCCUGUUUCUUUCCCUUUCCUUGGGCCUCUCUAAUCCCCGAGACACAACAAUAUUGAAAUUAGUCUCAUUAAUAACGCUAUGGUGGCCUUCAAGUGUUCAAGUGAAAGGGAGAAUCACUUGUCUCUCACUUUAAAUCAAAGCUAGCAGCAAUUCAGCUUAGUGAGGAAAGCAAGUUGAAAGCCGAGACAGGUAAAAGUUGGGCCUCCUGCACCUCACAAUUAGCCAAGUUGUGAAUGCAAAGGAAAAGUUCUUGAAGGAAAUUCAAAGUGCUACUCCAGUGAACACACAAAUAAUAAGAAAACAAAAUAGCCUUCUGCCUGAUAAGGAGAAAGUCUCAGUGGUCUAGGUAGAAGAUCAAACCAGCCAUAACAUUAUCCCCUAAGCCAAAGCCUAAUCUAGAGCAAGGUGCUCACUCUCUUCAAUACUUUGUUGGUUGAGAGAGGUGAGGAAGCCUCAGAAGAAAAAUGUGAAGCUAGGAGAGGGUGGUGUGUAAGGUGUAAGGAAAGAAGCUGUCUCCAUGGCAAGAAAAUGCAUGGGGAAAGAGUAAGUGCUGAUGUAGAAGCUGCAGCAAGUGAUCCAGAAGGUCUAGCUCAGAUCAUUCAUGAAGAUGGCUGCGUCAGACAACAGAUUUUCAGUGUGGAGGACACAGCCUUAUCUUGGACCAUUGGACCUAGCAUUAUCUAGGACUUUUUUAGCUGCAGAGGAGAAGUCAAUGACUAGAUUCAAAGCCUCAAAGGACAGUCUCAUUAGGGACUAAUACAGCUGGUGGCUUUAAGUGAAAGCCAGUGCUCCUUGGCCAUUCUGAAAAUCCUAGUGCCUUUAAGAAUGAUGCUGAAUCUCCUAAUGCCUGUUCUCUAGAAAUGGAACAACACAGUCUGGAUGACAGCACAUCUGUUUUUGACAUGGUUUGCUGAAUAUUUUAAGGCCACUGUUGAGACCUACUGCUCAGAAAAAACGACUCCUUUCAAAAUAGUACUGCUUAUUGACAGUACAUCUGGUCACCAAAGAACUCUGAUGGAGAUGUACAGUAAGAUGAUGUCGUUUAAAUGCCUGCUAACAUGACAUGUAUUCUGCAGCCCAUGGCUCAUGGUGUAAUUUCAACUUUCAAGUCCUAUUAUUUAAGAAAUACGUUUCAUAAGACAGCAGGUGCCGUAGAUAGUGAUUCCUCUGACAGAUCUGGGCGAAGUAACUUGAAAACCUUCCAGAAAAGAUUCACCAUGUUAGAUGACGUUAAGAACAUUUGCGAUUCAUGGGAAGAAGUCAAAAUAUCAACAUUAACAAGAGUUUGGAAGAAGCCGAUUCCAGCCAGCACGAAUGACUUUAAGGGCAGGAGAAGUCACUGCAGAUGUGGUGGAAACAGCAAGAGAAUCAGAAUUAGAAGUGGAGCCUGAAGAUGGGGACUGAAUGGCUGCAAUCUGAUGAUACGAUAUGAAAGGAUAAGAAGUCCUUCUCAUGGAUGAGCAGAGAAAGUGGUUUCUUGACGUGGAAACUGCUCCUGGUGAAGAUGCUGUGAAGAUUGUUGAAAUGACAACAGAAGAUUUAGAAGAGCACAUAAACCUAGUUGACAAAGCAGCAGCAGAGUUUGAGACCAAUGACUCCGAAUUUGACGGAAGUUCUACUGUUGGUGAAAUACUGCCAAACAGUACCACAUGCUACAGAGAAAUCAUUCCUGAAAGGAAUGCAAUAAACUUCAUCGAUGUCUUAUUUUUAGAAAUUGCCACAGUCUCCCAGCCUUCAGCAACCGCCACUCCGAUCAGUCUGUAGCCCUCAACACUGGGGCCAGACCCUCCACCAGCAUAAAGAUUAUGCCUGCUGAAAGCUCAGAUGAUGAUGGCAGCAUUUUUUAGUGAUCAUUCUUUUAAAAUUUAAGGUGCAUACAUUGGUUUUAGACUUAAUGGUGUUGCACGCUUCGUACACUACGGUAUGGUGUAAACAUAACUUCUAUAUACACCGGGAAACCAAAAAAUCCAUUUGACUCACUUAAUUGUGAUAUUCAUUUUAUUGCAGUGUUCUGAGACCAAGCCUGCAAUGUCUCCUAGGUAUGCCUGUAUACGUUUUAAAGGAUUCCCGGAUAUGCAGCAACUCAGUACAUGCAAUUUUGCUAUUAACAUGUUUACAAAUGGGAGAAAAUCUUCAUAAUCAUGGCGUUUACACUGAACGCUCUGGAAUCCCCACUGCUUCUCUUGCUUGCUUAUCCUCAGGGAUAAGGGCAGCUGUUUUAGGGACAGAACAUUUAGCUAAUCUCAAAUGUUUUACUUUUAACUCAUUUGGAAGAGAAAUGUUAGUACGUGGCAUUUGCUUUUCAGCCAUUUUCUCUGGAAUGCUCUCGCUCCACUCGGGCAAGGAAAACUCAGACGGAAACCUUCACAGGAAGUAGAUACCAUUGGAAUGGAUCUUAGGCAGGGAAGUGCUCUGUAUCUCUGGGUUGGCACAGCCUGGUGAAAACUAUUGAACUGUAGCAUUUCCGUCGUGGUGCCAGCUCGAUGGCUAGACGCCAAGAUUGCUCUUUGGCAACAAGCAGCCAGACAAGCAGCUGGUUAUUGCAGUGAAUCUGAGCAGCGUGCCUAGGGCCUUGACUCUGGUGCCAGAUCCUCCAACCCAGUUAGCGACUGAACCCUGGAGGCUCGUUCUGGCUCCGUUCCCUCCGCGCCUCACGAUGGGCUUUGCCCUGGCAAGAGUGAUCUCCAGCAGAUUGUCCUGCCUGGGUCCUGAGCUAUGGUGUCUGGCUGGAGUGGGAUGCUUAGAGACCACCUAAAGCUGAAGGAACACUUGGCAGCUGUGACCGUCUCGCCGGGGGCACUGGCCGGGGCAUGCUUUCACUGGAGGCUGGCUGGAAGACAGCAGAAUCAAUAGGAGCUGCUGGCAUUCCACUCAAGCCAGGGGCGAAGAAGUGACAGCCUCCUGGCGUCUGCCUUUGGCCCCGCUGGCAUCUAUUUUGUGCUGUCCUUUGUGAAAAUCGCGAAGACUGAGGGGCCUGACACCAUGAUGCAGUUUGCAGCGCUGUGCCCUCCAUGUUGAUUCCCUGGAAGUUGGAGAGCUAUUCAGAAUGGUUCAAAACGAAGUCUGAAAAUUUGAACAUAGCCAUCGGGUAAUUCUCGGCAUCUUUCAAAGGAUGCCUGUGAUUUCUCCCGGGGAAAGUUGAAGUAUACUACAAUGGUGGAUCUAUUAAAAAUAUUGGCACAGAGGAACAAGGACUCCAUUGUGUUUAAUUGCUGGGAUUCCCGCCUCACCACACAGGACAAGUACCAACAGGAUACUGUCUAUGAAGCUUGUCUUUUAUUCCUAACAUUUGAUCACUUUCUGGAAUCAGGUAUAUGAUUAACAUGUGUAUCGCUUAAUGUAGAUGAGGUAAAUAGAAUAGGACAUAGUGCCAAUGUUAUACUGUGACUCUGAAUUUUUUUCCCCUUUUGUUUUUAUUUUUUAUCAGGUCCACUGACUUUUUUUUUUCCUUAUUUGGUCUUUUAUCCAAAAAUCAAUGUUGUUGAAACUCACCAUGUACCACGGUCCUCAGGGCUGUGUGGUUCACAGGCGAAGUAAUAAGUUCAUGUACCUAGUUUAAAGGAGAAAUCUGUUAAUAGUUUAACUAAUGAAUAUUUAACUCAAAAAAUAAUUUCAUAUUAAUAGAUACAAUGGCGUUUCUUAUUGAGAGACCCAUUUCAGUCGUCAAAAUAACACAUUGUCAGUUGGGCAUUUUGGUUCGCGAUGUCACAAUUGGAUAAUUUGUGUUGGAACCUUCAUUCUCCCCAUCGCCUUCCUAAUCUAUCUGCUGAACUCCCCUCACACCUAAGAAACCAGCUCAAAUACAGUGCAUCAUGCAUUCCAUAUCCUUUCCCCAAUUAUCACAAAAUUAUUUGCCACGGCGUGUGUCUAUAUCCCUACUUCACCUUGUUUAGGCGUUGAUUAUAACAUUUACCACCCUGUGUUCUAGUUUGUGUAUAGUUAGUCAUCUCUCCUGCUAGAUUCUGAAGGGAGCACUCAGAAGGGAGAACUAUUUCUUUUCCGUUUUUGUAUGUAUUUUUAAUUUCAGUGACAUUAAAUUAUACAGUGAAGUGAAAUUAUCACCAUUUACAGCAAGAAUUUUUUUUUAAGUUUCCAGAUGCGAAAGUAUUGUUGAUUCUUGGUAUUUGUGGUAGUUAUUUCCAUAAAGUCACUGUGAGCACCGAAUUAGCAAAUAUUUAACCAUUGCUCCUAAUACAGAGUUAGGUUUCUGUGAAACUCUGAUCACAACAUUUUCAUCAUCGACCUAUCAGUACAUAGCCUUGUUUUAUGUAGGUUUCUGUUUAAAGACACCUAUUUAAUACAUAACAUCAUUCAUGAAAACAUUGAGCUCGUGGGCAAUAGCACUAUAAGUCAUGCCUGAAUAAAGGUUUUCCAACACACAUUUUUUUUCUACAAGACACUGUCAAGAAUCCAGAAAUAGCAAAAUUAAACUACCAGAUCAGUAAAACCGUAUUUAGUAGGAGUUUAUUAUGCAUAUAAGAAUAGUUCACAAACUGGGAGCUUUCAAAUUCGAAACUGAUAUGAAGCUCAGAAGCAUGACAUUAUAGGAUGGCUUAUAAAGUGAAAACGAGGAAGUCAUUUAACCUUUACAGUGAUUGGUUAAUACCGUGGGGGUUUCCAGACGGCAGGGGAUUGGUUACAAGUGAUUAUCUUACACCAUUUUUAGGAAGAUGGCUUAAGUUUCUUUUAUGAUUAUCAGAGGCAUUUACAAGAAGUAACCUACGUUACACUCAUUUUCAUGAAAUAAGCUAGCUUUAGUUUUGCUUACAUGGCUCAAAUGGUUUUGUCUGCUUUGGGGGAUUUUCAAGCCUGGCUUCCAAUUUUAUUUUAUUCUACCAGCACAUUGUAGCCUUCUUGCACUUAGGGACACUACAGAACACUUCAGCGCUACGCUUGGGGGUCAUUGUAAAUGGCAAAAAAAAAAAAUGUGGUACUAAAUAGACUGCCAAAAGGACCCUUGUUUACAGUAUGACAGCUGAAACAAGAAGGCAGAACAUAGCAUUGUUCAACGUCAGCUGAGAACGUGCAUUUUUACCUCAUUGCACAUAUUCGUCAAUGACCAUAAAAUCUGUACAAGUGUUGACUUGGAGGCCUCCCCUCAUUUUUAAAAAAAUUUUCAAUGUCUAUUAUCUUAAAAUUUUUUCAAUGUUUAUUCAUUUUUGAGAGACAGAGACAGUGUUUGAGUGGGGGAGGGGCAGAGAGAGAGGGAAACACAGACUCCAAAGCAGGCUCUGGGCUGUCAGCCCAGAGCCCCACGUGGGGCUCGAACUCAUGAACUGUGAGAUCAUGACCUGAGCCGAUGUCCGACGCUUAAUGGACUGAGCCACCCAGGUGCCCCAGUCCGAAAUAAAUUUCAGUGAGUGGGCAAAUUCACAAAUACAGAAUCUAUGAAUAAUGAGGAUCAGCUAUAUGUGUAUCAUGAAUAUUUAAUAUUAUAGUCACCAUUUUGUUUAAUCCAAAUUGGGUGUGUGGUAGGGUAUAGAAUUAGAAAAAAUAGUUUCUGUGGAGUGUUUUAUAAGUAGUGAUUAGGAAUUUUUAUUUGAAGUAGAUCUUAUUUUAAAAUUAUGUGGCAGCCAAAGCACUCCUUAUUUAUCUUGAGUGUUUAAUUCGGAAAAGAAAAAUGAGACCAUUUUCACAAAAAAUGCAUUUUCCAGAAGAUACUCCACACCCCCUAUAAUCUGCUCUAAUACAGAAGUUAAUGCAAUAUUAGCUAAAAAUAAAGUAUUGGAUGCAUAAAGGCACAUCCUGAGCACAACUAUCUGCACAAUAGAUUUUCAGUAGCAGCAAUGAGCUUGACUCAGAAUAGAAUAUAGAUAUUCAUGUAUUAUUGAUGCUAAUUCACUCUGGGGAACUUCCCUGUGCAAUUUAUCCAAUCCUCUGCAUACCACUGGUUAUAGUACAUGCAUCUUUUUAUUCAUCCUAUGUGAGAUUAUGAACAGUACCAGAAGGAUGCAUUCAUUAAGAUUCAUAGGAAUGUAAUGACCAUUUUCCCACUAAUAGAUUUUUUCUAAUAGAAAAAAAAAUAGGUGUUGUACUUCCAAGACAUUACUCAAACAUGUGUGCAUGCAUAAGUAUUUGAGAAAACUCAGAAAAAAAAUUAAGCUCUUGCAUCUUUAAGUAUUUUCAAUUAAAAAACCAAGUGUUUGUGUGUGGAAAGUGAUCGAAGAAAUAGCUGGCAAGGCAAAUGUCCUGCCAUAGCCCUAAAAAUACAGGAGUAAAGGGAGGCCUAGCACAGGAGUUUAGCAAGUGUAUGUUGGUGAAAUGGGUGACGGGGCUCAAAAGGCAAAAACCCGCAGUUAUAAACCAUAGGGAUGUAAUGUGCAGCAUGGUGACUAUGAUUAAUCAUAUUGUAUUGCCUAUUUGAAACUUGCUAGAAAGUAGAGCUUGAGAGUUCUCACAAGAGCUGUCACAACUGCCUAGGUGGUUCAGUUGGUUGAGAAUCUGCCUCCUGAUUUCACCUCAAGUCAUGAGCUCAUGGUCUUGGGAUCGAGCCCCGCGUUGGGUUCUGUGCUCAGAGUGUGGAGCCUGCUUGGGAUUCUUUCUCUCCUCUUCUCUCUCUGCCCCUCCCUUGCUCAUGCUCUCUCUCUUUCUCUCUCUC
Molecule: long non-coding RNA, 21490 nt
Organism: Acinonyx jubatus (cheetah)
Lineage: Eukaryota; Metazoa; Chordata; Mammalia; Carnivora; Felidae
Exons: 2
Source: RefSeq, a predicted model, not a curated record